UACAGAGGUCCCAAGCGUUGUUCGGAUUCACUGGGCGUAAAGGGUGCGUAGGUGGUUAGGUAAGUCUGAUGUGAAAUCUCCGGGCUCAACCCGGAAAUGGCAUUGGAAACUAUUUGACUAGAGGAGUGGAGGGGUGACUGGAAUACUUGGUGUAGCAGUGAAAUGCGUAGAUAUCAAGUGGAACACCAGUGGCGAAGGCGAGUCACUGGACACUUCCUGACACUGAGGCACGAAAGCGAGGGGAGCAAACAGG
RNAcentral lists this ribosomal RNA (253 nucleotides) under uncultured bacterium. RNAcentral's name for it is "partial 16S ribosomal RNA". It matches the Rfam family "Bacterial small subunit ribosomal RNA", at positions 524 to 776 of the family's 1533-position model. The record is from RNAcentral.